Molecule: ribosomal RNA, 335 nt
Filed under: uncultured eukaryote
Lineage: Eukaryota
Description: partial 18S ribosomal RNA
Rfam family: Eukaryotic small subunit ribosomal RNA
Source: RNAcentral
CCCUUAGAUGUUCUGGGCCGCACGCGCGCUACACUGAUGCAUUCAACGAGUCUAAAACCUGCUCUGAUAGGGGUGGGUAAUCUUUUGAAUGUGCAUCGUGAUUGGGAUAGAUGAUUGAAAUUUUUCAUCUUCAACGAGGAAUGCCUAGUAAACGCAAGUCAUCAGCUUGCAUUGAUUAUGUCCCUGCCCUUUGUACACACCGCCCGUCGCUCCUACUGAUUGGUAUAUAAGGUAAAAAUCUCGGAGAGGUUGGGAUUUCAUGCAGGUUUACUUGCAUGUGCCUGGCCUCAAAGUUAUUUAAAUCUUCUGUACUAGAGGAAGGAGAAGUCGUAACA